AGGCCCUGUCCUCUGCCCCAG
This 21-nucleotide microRNA is filed under the name Homo sapiens (human). Its description in RNAcentral is "hsa-miR-6775-3p". The record is from miRBase by way of RNAcentral. Lineage: Eukaryota; Metazoa; Chordata; Mammalia; Primates; Hominidae.